AACGAACGCUGGCGGCAGGCCUAACACAUGCAAGUCGAGCGAGACCUUCGGGUCUAGCGGCGGACGGGUGAGUAACGCGUGGGAACGUGCCCUUUUCUACGGAAUAGCCUCGGGAAACUGAGCGUAAUACCGUAUACGCCCUUUGGGGGAAAGAUUUAUCGGAGCAGGAUCGGCCCGCGUUGGAUUAGGUAGUUGGUGGGGUAAUGGCCUACCAAGGCUACGAUCCAUAGCUGGUUUGAGAGGAUGAUCAGCCACACUGGGACUGAGACACGGCCCAGACUCCUACGGGAGGCAGCAGUGGGGAAUAUUAGACAAUGGGGGCAAACCUGAUAUAGCCAUGCCGCGUGAGUGAUGAAGGCCUUAGGGUUGUAAAGCUCUUUCAGCUGGGAAGAUAAUGACGGUACCAGCAGAAGAAGCCCCGGCUAACUACGUG
This 433-nucleotide ribosomal RNA is filed under the name uncultured bacterium. RNAcentral's name for it is "partial 16S ribosomal RNA". It matches the Rfam family "Bacterial small subunit ribosomal RNA", at positions 29 to 507 of the family's 1533-position model. The record is from RNAcentral.